Molecule: non-coding RNA, 90 nt
Organism: Mycena albidolilacea
Lineage: Eukaryota; Fungi; Basidiomycota; Agaricomycetes; Agaricales; Mycenaceae
Source: the annotation of a GenBank genome assembly
GUCCCUGUAGAUCACGGCAGAUCAUCCCAGGUCAAUUAUAGGUGACUUCGUAGUGUUGGGACGCCGGCGGUUCGACUCCGCCCGGGGACA